Molecule: long non-coding RNA, 1486 nt
Filed under: Olea europaea (common olive)
Lineage: Eukaryota; Viridiplantae; Streptophyta; Magnoliopsida; Lamiales; Oleaceae
Description: long non-coding RNA (OEUR_LNC000581)
Source: RNAcentral
CAGCAAUGGACGCCAAUGAAAAUUCUACACAAGGAACCAAAAAGUUCCAUAUAGAACAAUAGAAGAAACCGGGUAAAAACCAACCAAUUCUGGCAUGCACUAGUUCUUUCUAUAUAUUCGAGAAUAUUAUAAAAUGUGAACUGCUACAUAAAUUAAUUUAACGAUUUAUAAAAAUAAUAAUAUUAUAACCGAAUUAGAGUUCGAUUAUGAUUUAUGUAGCUAUAACCACAUGGAGGCUCGGUUUCUUGUCUUCUUGACAAAUGUAAAAUAUUGUUUAAUCCAAGUUAUGUACAUCAAAUUCUCUCCUUUUUCUAUCUAGAACAAAUGAAAACAAGUUGGGAGUCAAUUUGUAAAAUUGCUGUGGAAAUCGUAAAGGAGCCGAACGGUGUUGUGAUGUUGCUAUUAGCAUUUUAUAAGGUUUUCGGUUUUAGCAAUUGAACACAUGGAAUGAAUUGCCGUUGGCACUUCCAAGUUUUAUUUUAUUUUAAUUUUGGAUAAAUGAAAUUAUAUUUUUUUUAAACUUAAUUUGAUUAAGAGAUAAAGAAGUGAUAGUCUAUACUUAAAAUUCAUAAUAAAACAAUAUUGAUUUAGUCAUAAAGAUAUUAUUUAUGAAGGAACAACAGUAAUUCAAAUACAAUAUAACAACAAAAGCGAACAUAUGUCAAAGUCAUCCAUUUCCAAUUCGGGUUAGUCACAUGGGACAAUGUGGUACAUUCUGCGUAUUUAGAGAUACGAUUUAUGACUAGCUACAUUCAUGUAUAAUCGAAUCAACAUAAGAUGACAUGGUCAAAAGUUAAAUUGAACUCUCACUCAAAAUAGUUCAAACCUUCACUUGAGAUAGCAAUAGCUUAGCCCACAUGAAUCAUUUGUAAUCGAAUCAAGAUGAGAUGACAUGGUCAGAAGUCAAAUCGAACCAUUACUUGGGAUAGUAAUAGCUCGGCCCACAUGAAUCAUUUGACGAAAGCACUUCAAUACUAUCACCUACCGUGGUGAUUUGUCACUCAACAAGUCAUCAAGGGCAUAACAAACAUGGUGGACAUGACCCAAAUCCAGAUCUUGCAGCAAUGGACGCCAAUGAAAAUUCUACACAAGGAACCAAAAAGUUCCAUAUAGAACAAUAGAAGAAACCGGGUAGAAACCAACCAAUUCUAGCAUGCACUAGUUCUUUCUAUAUUUUCGAGAAUAUUAUAAAAUGUGAACUGCUACAUAAAUUAAUUUAACGAUUUAUAAAAAUAAUAAUAUUAUAACCGAAUUAGAGUUCGAUUAUGUAGCUAUAACCACAUGGAGGCUCGGUUUCGUCUUCUUGACAAAUGUAAAAUAUUGUUUAAUCCAAGUUAUGUACAUCAAAUUCUCUCCUUUUUCUAUCUAGAACAAAUGAAAAUUGCGCAAUGGAAGGAAAAGAUGUAUAAUUACAUUUGGUGUUAUUCUUCACCUAGCCACUUUCUUCAGUAACUAUAUGGUCAUCAUAUGCAGCAAGGAAGAAAGU